This 6400-nucleotide long non-coding RNA is filed under the name Sarcophilus harrisii (Tasmanian devil). RNAcentral describes it as "lncRNA (ENSSHAG00000025536.1)". The record is from RNAcentral. Lineage: Eukaryota; Metazoa; Chordata; Mammalia; Dasyuromorphia; Dasyuridae.
AUUUUAUUUUACAUGAAAGAGCUUCACAGGCUCAAGCAAAUACAACUAGGCAAGGAAGAGUCAUACAUGAAUGAGCAAUUUGCUUUUGGGGGAACACAAUUUUUUCAAAUCUCAGGGGAGCAGAGGCAGGCUUUAGAGAGUAAGGGAGAAAUUGGGGAGAGGUCAGGGACAGAUCAAAAUGAAGUUCCACCUGGCUGAUGGGGAUCAGUUCAACCUUAUAGUUCUCUGGAGGUCCUGGGUAGCUCCAUCUUGCUGUGUCCAAUCAGAAAUAUGAAUUAUGUCAAAGCCCGGAGAUUAAAUUUCCUCUACUUUUGGAAACCCAGACUCACUUCUACACAGUGCUAAGGACAUUAUUGGAGGAUAAUAAUUGUUAAUUCUGUAACAAAAAAAAAAAUAAUCCCAAUAGUUCAAAGCAUUUUAUUAUGGCCCACACCAUCUUUGCUGAAUCCUUGUGCAUCCACAGAUCUGAGAGGUAAACUAUCCUAUAUUCUUCUAAUUUGCUUAUAACAUCAUUCUUUAUGUCUGAAUCAUAAACCCAUUUCAAUCUUUUCAUGGUAUAGGAUGUUAGGUGUGAUUUAAUGCUAUGUUUCUGCCAUACUGAUUUCCAAUUUUCCCAGCAGUUUUUGUCAAAUAGUGAAUUCUUACCCCAAAAGGUGGGGUCUUUGGUUUUGUCAAACACUAGAUGACUAUAGUCAUUGACUAUUUUGUCCUGUGAACCUAACCUAUUCCACUGAUCAGCUACUCUAUUUCUUAGCCUGUACCAAAGGUUUUGAUGACUGCAGAAGCAACAUUUUCAACCACAUUUUCCUAUGGUUAAUAAUUUUCAUUUACCCAUCUCUAAACAAAUUAAGCUGACUUUUUCUAAUUGGCAAUAUCCGUUGAGUUUUUCCUCAAGACUACAAUGACUAUCUUCCAUUUUGUCAGAGAACAAAAUCAAUAGGAAAGAACUUAAAAUGCCAAAAAAAAAAAAAAUUUUUUUUCCUUGUAACUCCCUUGCAACUGCAAAGAGUCUCUUUUUCUGCAUCCUCAGAAAAGGAAAGUAUGGUCCCAUAAAUUAACAAGAAAUGCAAGCUAGGAAACUGUGAUAACAGAUUAAAAACAAACAGAUCUGGUCACUAGGUGACAGAACGUAGAAUGAAGGUUAGGUCAGAUGAUUAAAAAAAGAAAAGUAUUUUAGAAAGGGGACCAUCCCCCACAUACACACAAGAAUAAAAACAACAACCCUGAUCACCCAGCCUGAUGUGGCUCUGGGGAGGGAUUGCACCAGAUGGGUGAUAUUCAGACUAUGUCUUUUAUCCCCAUGACUCCUGUUGGGGAUGUAUCAUUACUCACACGAGGGAGGAGGUCUUCUUGACUCUCACCUUAGAGCUCUCUGCCUUCCCCCAAGUCACGAGUAUAGGGAUCGCUAACAAGACCACCGAAGAUCAUGUCUCAGAGCCUCUACCCCUUUUUAUUGGAGGGCUUUGUGCCUUUUACCAGUGAUCUGCUCCAUAUAUUAUUACAAGCCAUCUUUUCAUUGGAUCUCAAAAGAACCCCUUCUUUGUGCCUUUUGUCCCCAGUACCCUGCCCCUCUAAGAUUGUCUCCAUUCCUUUAGGUCUUUUCCCUUCAACCCCUUCUGACCAUCCCCACUUGUGACGAUUGUGCUAGCACCCAAGAUACCUUAGAAUCAUCUGGAGUCAGGAUAAGCAAAAGUCCUCAGUCUUUAUUCUUGGUCUUUAGGGGCAGAAGUGAAGGGGAUGGAAGUAGGAUCUCUGCAACCACCUUCUUCCUCCUACACCACCCAAGUGCCCCUGGCUAGUCUUACUCCACCCCUUAGUCCCUCCUACAAUCCUCUGUAUACACCAAUCAUCAAGCCAGCACAGGAUAGUGGGAAGGGCCAUUUUCCAAGCACAUGCCCAUAGAGUAGUGUCCAAUCAGUAGUUAGCCUCAAGUGCUCAGCUGUUCUGACCUCAGUGCAGCAACUCAAGAGCUUCAGCCCUCUACAUCUCCCACUUUCUUUUGUUUUAGAACACAGGUGGUCACACCAUCCCAAACUUCUCAGGGAGGUGAGAACCCCCAAAAGGAGAUAAUCACAUCCCUCCUGACUUCUCAGGAAGGGAGAUGAAAAGUACCACAGGGAAGUGGGGAUUGCUAGCAGGUUUCUGGGCUGAAAGGUCUUACUAGAAACAGGUAUGCACAAACCUAUCAGCAUGGGAGGUAUUGCCCAAGCACAUAGCAAUAAUGCUCAGGCUAUUAGUGAUGACUCUCCCCACAGCCAGUGGAGGCUCAAUGUGGUGUAACAAACAUGAAUUGUACAUGCAAGUACUGAUAUAACAGACAAUAUGAAUCAGCAUGGUGUUGUAAAAGAUCGCCAGAAGUUCUAGGAGGAGGGUAUGUAAACAACAGUCACACAUACAUCUUCUUCAGCAGCCAAGAGAUAAUCCAAAACCAGUCUAUUGUCCAUUGCUUCACGAGUCAGGGAAUCCAAUGAUCCCUGCAAGUUUUUGAAGUCCUGCAACAGUCUUAUUAUUUCUCAGAAAAUCCAAUGAUUCCUGAGGGCUUUCAAGUCCUACAACAAUCUUAUGUCUCAGAAUCCAAUGAUUCCUGAGGGUUUUCAAGUCCUACAACAAUCUUAUCAUGUCUCAGAGAAUCCAAUGAUUCCUGAGGAUUUUCAAGUCCUACAACAAUCUUUUCAUGUCUCAGAGAAUCCAAUGAUUCCUGAGGGUUUUCAAGUCCAACAAUUUUUGAUGUCCGUGAGCCAAAUGCCAUAACUGCCACGCUCUUUCAGUGGUGGGCACAAUCAGCAACAAAACCACCCGAUGUUUCUUGGGUCUUCUCCUUCAUUUCAAGGAUCUGCUCCAUUUCUCUGCGAUGGACAAGGCGAAUAUGGCACCCAUCUGAUUUCCUUCUCCACCUGUGGAGAUACAAGCAAACCCUCUCCCCCAAGCAAUUAGCCUAUCUAGUCCCUUCCAUUCACCACUUUCUGGGUCUCUCCACAUCACCUGGUGAUUAUCUAAAGAUAGUGGAGCUGCUUGCACUGGACACUGCUCUUCUGGUAGGUUAUAAAACCUGUCUGCCGGAGCCAGUGCAUCUUUGUCAAAAAUCAAGAAAUUAAUAGUAUAAAGGGCUAGAUAUAGAAGUUCUCUAGGGUUACCUGUGGCUCCCCCUUUCUUUUGUUUUUGGAGGAGCGCCUUAAUGUCUCUGUUUCUCCUCUCUACUAUUGCCUGUCCUUGAGGAUUAAAAGGUAUGCCAGUGGUGUGUAAAAUCUUAUACUGUGUACAAAAGUGUGCAAAAUGUUUAGAAGUAUAUGCAGGUCCAUUGUCUGGUUUUAUUGCUUGUGGCACACCCAUAAAUGCAAAUGCUUGGAUAAGGAAUUCAGUGACCACUCGGGCUGUCUCUUUUGCUACUGGUAUUGCAAAAGUGAAUCCUGAAAAGAUGUCUAUCAUAAUGUGGAUAAAAGACAGGCAACCAAAAGAUUUAUAAAGGAUCACAUCCAUUUGCCAAAUUUCAUUGGGUCUCAAACCACUAGGGUUCUUCCCCUGGAGGCAGUGUAGGAGCAUGGAAAGGAAGGCAAACACCUUAAAUGACUUUCAGAAAUUGAUAGGAGAUAUCCAAUGGAUGUGUCCAGUGUUAGACUUGACUACCUAUCAAUUGCAACCAUUAUAUGACAUUUUAAGGGGAGACAGUGCUUUAAACUUACCAUGCCAGCUUUUCUUAUUGGUGUAAGAGCAGCAGCAACAUACAUUUGACACAUAGUAGGGCUGUUUUUCAUUUCCUGUGGCAAAACUGUCCCUUCAUAUCUUUUAUAAGGCUCAGCUAAGUUAACACUGGGCACUGUAAAGGCAAAUCUUUUCAUAUCCUUAUCUAGAGUGAUAGAAUAAAAACAAUCCUUAAUGUCUACAAUCCAAAGAGGCCAUUGGCCAUUGAGUAGGAGAUGGAAGCCCAGGCUGAAGAACUCCCAUAGUUUUCAUCUGUUUAUUUACCUUUCUUAAAUCAGUCAACAUCUUCCAUUUUCCAGAUUUCUUUCUUACAACAAAUACUGGGGGAUUCUAAGGACUUAGAGAAGGUUGUAAGUGUCCUUGGUCAAGUUGCUCAUGUACUAUACCUAAUAAGGCCUGAAUUUUAUUGCUACCUAAGGGCCACUGUUCUAUCCACACUGGCAUAUCAGUUUUCCCUUGGAUAGGAACAGGUGAAAGUGUUGGCAGGCCUUCAACAGCAGCCCAGCCUAAAAAACCGAGAUACUCAUUUUUAAUCCUAAUUGUUGUAAAAUGUCUCUUCCCCACAGAUUGAUGGGGAUUUUUCAACUACAAAAGGAGUAAAAACUCCUGUUUCACCUUCAAAAGUUCAUCUCAAAGGGGUAGCACUAACUUCAGCUGCUAUUGCUGCUCCUACACCAGACAUAUAGGUGUCUGCCUUAACCUUUGGCCAGGGACUAGGCCAGUUGGCAUCUCUAAUGACUACGAACUGCACCUGUGUCUACCAAUCCUCCUAAUGGUGGACCAUUUAUAUAGAUAGUGAGUAGAGGUCGGUCAGCUGUUACAGCUGCUAUCCAGUAUAUUCUUGGAUUUUGUUGCUUGGAGUCAGAAUCUGGGCAACUAUCACCAGAUUGCUUAUUAGGAGUCUGUAUUAAUAAACCUGAUGUUACUACUUCUCCUGGGUGAUAAGUCACACAUUGUCUACCUGUAUUAGUGACUGGGAUAUUAUCUACACAUUCCCCAGUUUCCCACAUCAGUGUGUGGAUGGACACUGUUUUGUAAGUACUCUCAGGAGGUGAAAUGGUCAAGCCUACUGUGCCUGGAGGCAAGGGAUCCAUAGGCUGGAGAGGAACAGAUUUCACCUAUUCAGGGGGUAUCUCAGUUGUCCCAGCUGCAUACAACUCUAUUCUCCCCAACUGUAAUACCUUUCUCCCAUCAGGUUGCUUACUGACUGAUUGAUUGUGUAAUCCCUUUCUCCCAUCAGGUUGCUUCCUGGAUGAUUGGUCAUUAUCUAGGUAUUGGACUUCUAGGCACUUUCUGGGUGCACUAUUGGCUGCCAUCAUGCCCCAAGUGUUUUUUGCCUGGGGCCCUGGGGCUGGGCCCCUCAUCCUGUUUCACUGAACCUGUCUGUCUACAUUGUGAAGCCCAAUAGAAGCCUCUGUUGCAUUUUGGACAUGGGGUAUUGGGUCUCGUUCUCCCACCCUGUUUUCUCACUCUGUCUCUAUUCCAAUAUUGAGCUUUCAGAUGCCCUACUUUACCACAUUGAAAGCAUUGAUGAGUCUCUCUGCAAGUCCCUUGCCAGAAGGAACCCUGUCUUCUCAUGUUGGGAUCUUGGGAAAUCUGCAUCAUAGUAUGGCUAUAAAAGGCAUUUGUGCCCACUGUGGCACAGAGUCUUAUGAUCUCCUCUAAAGGUGCAUCCUUGUGCAAUCCUAGUAUAAUUCUUCUACAAACCUCAUUAGCAUUUUCCUUAGCCAGUUGUCUUAUCAUGUCUGUUACUGCAUUUUCAACAUUAGUUCUUGUGAUAGCUGUCUGCAAAUGUCCCACAAAAUCAGCAAAAGGUUCAUUUGGCCCUUGUGUUAUUUUUGUGAAGUCCUCAUCCUUGUCGUUUUUACUGGAGAGAGAAGCCCAUGCUUUGAUAGCAGCAGCAGCAAUUUGCUCAUAUGCUGCUAAGGGUUAAUUAAUUUGUACUGAAAUUUCUGCAUAAGAACCUACACCUGUUAGUUGGUCACAGGUGAUUAGAGGAUUAACUCCACUUUGACUAUUUUGUUGGGCUUGUAUCCUACAGAGCUCACUAUAUUCAGAAAGUCACAACUAGUUCUGUCCAUGUUCUAAGCAUGUCCUUGCUAUAGAUUUCCCAUCCCUAAGGGUUAAGACUUCAUAAGCCAAAUUCUGUAAUAACAUCUUAACAUAAGCUGAUGUAGCCCCAUAAAGAGUGCAAGCCUUUUUCAGGUCUUUGAGGAUUUCUAUAUCAAAAGAGCAUAUCUUCUACUUUCUUGACCUGAAGAGUCAAACUGUUGAAUCACAGGAUAAAUUUCUAUUCUCAAAUCAGCUAUAUCCUGCCCUUCUUCUGUGGCUUUAAGUACUGCCUUUUGCAAUCUAGUCAUUUCUGAGGGGAUGAUUUCUGAGGGGGAGGUGCUGGUGGUGUCACAGACCCUCCCACUACUCUUCCCCCCUCCAUCUCGGAAGGUGAAGUUGAUGGGGGUGUGUCAAGAACCAGUUCUAGUUUAGGCAGAGUUGAAGCUGCUUUGUGAGAGUGAGAAUCAUGGUGCCCUUUGUCCUCACUUAACUCCCCAUGCCCUCUGGUGAUACCGCUUUUAAUCCCUCCUUUGUGCUCCUUAUUUUUCUCACACUUCCUCAUCUGGCCAUUCUUAGAAUUUUCCUUUUGUCUAUAACUUGCAGGAUUCUUUAAGGCCAAUUGUAUUAUGUUGUAUGGAUAGAUUGUCUC